GGAGAGGUGUCCGAGUGGUCGAUGGUGCCUGACUCGAAAUCAGGUGUGGGGAAACUCACCCGGGGUUCGAAUCCCUGCCUCUCCG
RNAcentral lists this transfer RNA (85 nucleotides) under Geobacter sp. OR-1. It matches the Rfam family "tRNA". Rfam says of the family: Transfer RNA (tRNA) molecules are approximately 80 nucleotides in length. Their secondary structure includes four short double-helical elements and three loops (D, anti-codon, and T loops). The record is from Rfam by way of RNAcentral. Lineage: Bacteria; Pseudomonadati; Thermodesulfobacteriota; Desulfuromonadia; Geobacterales; Geobacteraceae.